CGAGCACGCGCGUGUGGCAUAUCAAUAAGCGGAGGAAAAGAAACUAACAAGGAUUCCCCUAGUAACGGCGAGUGAAGCGGGAAGAGCUCAAAUUUGAAAUCUUCAAGGUUUUACCUUGACGAAUUGUAGUCUAAAGAAGUGUUUUCGGUUAGAGGAGUAGUAAAAGUUCUUUGGAAUAGGACAUCAUAGAGGGUGAGAAUCCCGUAUUUGACUAUUCUUUCUAGCUUUGUGAUACACUUUCAAAGAGUCGGAUUGUUUGGGAAUGCAGUCCAAAAUGGGUGGUAAAUUUCAUCUAAAGCUAAAUAUUGGCGAGAGACCGAUAGCGAACAAGUACCGUGAGGGAAAGAUGAAAAGAACUUUGAAAAGAGAGUUAAUCAGUACGUGAAAUUGUCAAAAGGGAAGCGUUUGACACCAGUGUUGUUUUUCCGAAAAUCAAUUAUGAAUGGCUUGAUUUUAAGUUUCAUGACCUUAAAAGCUUGUUUCUUAUUUUUCAUGUCUUUCGUAAUGCACUUUUCGGUUAACAAGUCAACAUCAAUUUCUUUUGUUGUAAAAGGUUAAGAGGAAGGUGGCUUUACUUUUCGGCGUAAGUGUUUAUAGCCUUGUACCUCUGCAAUCGGAGAGAUUGAGGUCUGCAGCGUAGAUCCUUCGGGGUUAGAUACAUUUGUGCUAAGUUAUAGCUUUUCAUAGACAACUUGUUGACUAUGUUUAGUCUUGUAGCUUACUCGCUUAUGCUAUUUUACCUACGCUUAGGAUGUUGAUGUGAUACUGCGAGCA
This 774-nucleotide ribosomal RNA is filed under the name uncultured Neocallimastigales. RNAcentral's name for it is "partial large subunit ribosomal RNA". It matches the Rfam family "Eukaryotic large subunit ribosomal RNA", at positions 19 to 646 of the family's 3401-position model. Lineage: Eukaryota; Fungi; Neocallimastigomycota; Neocallimastigomycetes; Neocallimastigales. The record is from RNAcentral.